Molecule: ribosomal RNA, 402 nt
Filed under: uncultured Devosia sp.
Lineage: Bacteria; Pseudomonadati; Pseudomonadota; Alphaproteobacteria; Hyphomicrobiales; Devosiaceae
Description: bacterial SSU rRNA
Rfam family: Bacterial small subunit ribosomal RNA
Source: RNAcentral
AGUGAGGAAUAUUGGACAAUGGGCGCAAGCCUGAUCCAGCCAUGCCGCGUGAGUGAUGAAGGCCUUAGGGUUGUAAAGCUCUUUCAGUAGGGAAGAUAAUGACGGUACCUACAGAAGAAGCCCCAACUAACUUCGUGCCAGCAGCCGCGGUAAUACGAAGGGGGCUAGCGUUGUUCGGAUUUACUGAGCGUAAAGCGCACGUAGGCGGUUUGUUAAGUCAGGGGUGAAAUCCCGGAGCUCAACUCCGGAACUGCCUUUGAUACUGGCAAGCUAGAGUCCGGAAGAGGUAAGUGGAACUCCUAGUGUAGAGGUGGAAUUCGUAGAUAUUAGGAAGAACACCAGUGGCGAAGGCGGCUUACUGGUCCGGAACUGACGCUGAGGUGCGAAAGCGUGGGGAGCAAA